RNAcentral lists this ribosomal RNA (57 nucleotides) under Dendrocollybia racemosa. RNAcentral's name for it is "partial large subunit ribosomal RNA". Lineage: Eukaryota; Fungi; Basidiomycota; Agaricomycetes; Agaricales. The record is from RNAcentral.
UGGACAAACUUACAAAAAUGACCUUUUGACCUCAAAUCAGGUAGGACUACCCGCGAA